AUAUAAUUUGGUUGGUUGGGACUUGGGACGGCCGGACGGGAAAGUAAUAAAGUACUGCAUACUGAAGAGAUGAGGAGGAGUACAGCAGCGAAUGAAUUCGAUUAUCUGAACUUGUUAUUACUAUGAUUAUUGCGUCGCGGUGACAGAUGAUGCAUGGGGUGGGUACGGUAGCAAAACAGGAACACGACUGAAUUCAAGCAACUACAUACAGCACAAGUCGGCAUCAGGCAUAUGAACAGACACAGAUACAGAGACAUGGAUCGUCGUCGGCAAGGAUGACUAGCUAGGUGUUCUUGGUGAUGGCGUAGAUGGCGUAGAUGAUGCCGGGGAUGUAGCCGAGGAAGGUGAGGAGGAGGCAGAUCCAGAACUCGUGGCCGCACCCGUACUUGAGGAACACCCCCAGCGGAGGCAGGAUGAUGGCGAUCAGGAUGUCCACGCAGUUGGCAGUCCCCUCCGACAUGCUGCCGAUGCUUCUUCUUCCUCCUCUUCUUCUUCUCUGCCUUGGCUUGGCUUGGAUGGAUCGGAUUCCUUCUCUCCUUUCGCUUUGCCUCUUCCCUGGCUUCACUUUCACUUUAUAGGCAGGCAGACCUUGGACGAGAGGGAGGGCGAUGGGAUGGCGACAGCUACAUACCAGUCGAGCGAUCUACUAGCUAGUCCGGUGGCACGCAAACGCAACACGUCUCGUC
RNAcentral lists this long non-coding RNA (686 nucleotides) under Zea mays. RNAcentral's name for it is "long non-coding RNA (ZMAY_LNC000445)". Lineage: Eukaryota; Viridiplantae; Streptophyta; Magnoliopsida; Poales; Poaceae. The record is from RNAcentral.